UUUAAUGAGAGUUUGAUCCUGGCUCAGGACGAACGCUGGCGGCGUGCCUAAUACAUGCAAGUAGAACGCUGAGGUUUGGUGUUUACACUAGACUGAUGAGUUGCGAACGGGUGAGUAACGCGUAGGUAACCUGCCUCAUAGCGGGGGAUAACUAUUGGAAACGAUAGCUAAUACCGCAUAAGAGUAAUUAACACAUGUUAGUUAUUUAAAAGGAGCAAUUGCUUCACUGUGAGAUGGACCUGCGUUGUAUUAGCUAGUUGGUGAGGUAAAGGCUCACCAAGGCGACGAUACAUAGCCGACC
This 301-nucleotide ribosomal RNA is filed under the name Streptococcus agalactiae. RNAcentral describes it as "partial 16S ribosomal RNA". It matches the Rfam family "Bacterial small subunit ribosomal RNA", at positions 1 to 292 of the family's 1533-position model. The record is from RNAcentral. Lineage: Bacteria; Bacillati; Bacillota; Bacilli; Lactobacillales; Streptococcaceae.